This is a small nuclear RNA of Jaculus jaculus (lesser Egyptian jerboa), 70 nucleotides long. The record is from Ensembl. NCBI's taxonomy places the organism in Eukaryota, Metazoa, Chordata, Mammalia, Rodentia, Dipodidae.
GUACUCACUUUGACAGCACAUAUACUAAAAUGGGAAUGAUACAGAGAAGAUUAGCAUGGCGCCUGUGCAA